Molecule: ribosomal RNA, 420 nt
Filed under: uncultured bacterium
Lineage: Bacteria
Description: bacterial SSU rRNA
Rfam family: Bacterial small subunit ribosomal RNA
Source: RNAcentral
UGGGGAAUCUUGCGCAAUGGGCGAAAGCCUGACGCAGCGACGCCGCGUGGGGGAUGAAGGGUUUCGGCUUGUAAACCCCUGUUGCCCGGGACGAAACGCCUCUUUCGAGAGGUUUGACGGUACCGGGUGAGGAAGCACCGGCUAACUCCGUGCCAGCAGCCGCGGUAAUACGGAGGGUGCGAGCGUUGUCCGGAAUCACUGGGCGUAAAGGGCGCGUAGGUGGCGCGGCAAGUCAACGGUGAAAGCUCGACGCUCAACGUCGAGUCGGCCGUCGAUACUGCCGCGCUGGAGCACUGUAGAGGCUAAUGGAAUUCCGGGUGUAGCGGUGGAAUGCGUAGAGAUCCGGAAGAACACCGGUGGCGAAGGCGGUUAGCUGGGCAGUUGCUGACACUGAGGCGCGACAGCGUGGGGAGCAAACAG